Molecule: long non-coding RNA, 354 nt
Organism: Balaenoptera acutorostrata (minke whale)
Lineage: Eukaryota; Metazoa; Chordata; Mammalia; Artiodactyla; Balaenopteridae
Exons: 3
Source: RefSeq, a predicted model, not a curated record
GGAAGGGGCUAGUGUAAAUAGUGUAGCUCUCUACUGCAAGAACCAAAGUAGUGAGGAGAUAUGGUACCAUUUCACAUGAAGAACACUUGAAAGCAUUUCUAGGGCUUUACAAACAUGAUCUCAUGAGAAAGAGGGCUGGACCAAGAAUCAGGAGUCUUGGGUUCUGGGACUGGCUCUCCCGCCAACCAGAGGUGGCACCUUAGGAGAUCCACAUACUCUUCUUGGACCUUAAUUUUCCAGUUUAUAAAAUGGGAGAUCAUUUUCAAGGACAAACUGAAAAAUAAGUUGUUCCUUAAAUUGUCUAAUGGAAGGCUGCUCUGGAUGAUAUACAGAGGGUAUCCUAACCCUGAUGGU